AUGGCAAAGGAGCCGCCGGGAGCCUGGUUCGGCUUGGGUUUCUGAGGCUUUAGGGCAGGCGCCGGGCUCCGGAGGCGGGCGCCAGGUGCACAGUCUCGAGCCACUGCAGGCAGGCGUCGACAUCCGCCAUGUGAGCGCGAGCUGGAGCUUCACCGCCUUCGUGACCAGUGGAGGCCGCCUCGAGCUGUAGGGCUCAGCGAGCGGCGCAGCGGGAGGCUGCAGGGACGCGUGGGCCCCGGAGGGGCUCCUCGUGGUGCUGCGCGCCGGGCCCGGAUCGGGGGCGUUACUCCAGGCCUGGGCGCCGGCUCGGCCCUGCGCGGGGAUCCCUUGUGGGCCCAGAAUGUGGUGCUGGAGGCCGAAAGGGAAGACGAUCCCGGCAGUGAGGCCCAGGCUGGGAGGCUGCCCCUGCUGCCCCGCGCCGGUGCCUAUGUGAGCCUGCAGCCGCCCUUCUGCCGGCCUCUGGCUCCGGAGCUGCGGGUGCGCCAGCUGGAGCUGGGCGCGGAGCACGCAUUGCUGCUGGACGCGGGGGGCCAGGUGUUCUCCUGUGGCGGGCAGGCAUGGACAGCUGGGCCAUGGGACCCUGGAGGCAGAGCUGGAGCCAAGGCCCUUGGAGGCGUUGCAGGGCCUAGCCAUGGCUCAGGUGGCCGCGUGGGGCUGGCAUUCUGUCUGUGUGCGUGAGACUGGGGAUAUCUAUAUCUGGGGCUGGAAUGAAUCAGGGCAGCUCGCCCUGCCCACCAGGAGCCUGGCAGAGGAUGGGGAGACAGUUGCAAGGGAAGCCACAGGACUGAAUGCAGAUGGCUCCCAGGUGAAGAGAAUGGCGGGGGCUGAGGAUGGAGCCCCUGCGCCCUUCAUAGCUGUCCAGCCCUUCCCAGCUCUACUGGAUCUCCCCCUGGGCCCAGAAGCAAUCAAGGCCAGCUGUGGAUCCAGGCACACGGCUGUGGUGACACAGGACCUGUACACCUGGGGCUGGGGUAAAUAUGGACAGCUGGGCCACAAAGACACCAGCAGCUGGGAUCCGUCCCGCCGAGUAGAAUACUUCGUAGAUAAGCAACUCCAAGUAAAGGCCAUCACCUGUGGGCCCUGGAACACCUACGUGUAUGCUGUGGAGAAAGGGAAGAGCUGAUGUGCGUAAGUAUAUGUAAAACGCCUGUGAAACUCCCAUCUGGGUCAAGGAAAACUAUUGCCAGCACCCCAAGGGCCCUGUAUUUGCCCCUUUCCAUCACAGUCUUCCCUUUCACCUUCAAGCACGGUCCUAAAUUUGUCUGCUUUAGAAACAACUGGAGAGCAUUGAAAACUCUGCUGCCAAAGGUCAGCAUCCUGACAGUGAAAGCCUGGGGGUGUGGCCUAGAUAGUGGUAGAGUCCAAGCUCCGCCCACCUCACCCAGGGAAAUUUGAUGUGCAGCUGAGAUCGGAGCACGUUCCAGGUCAUCUUCCUUUUCAGUCUCUUCCCGGUUUUCGUUUGAAUUUUGCCGUAUUUGUAUGCAUUUUUAUUCAACAUGGGUGUUUGCCUUUGAGUGUUAGGUAAAUGGAAUCGUCCUGU
This is a non-coding RNA of Saimiri boliviensis boliviensis (Bolivian squirrel monkey), 1540 nucleotides long. NCBI's taxonomy places the organism in Eukaryota, Metazoa, Chordata, Mammalia, Primates, Cebidae. The record is from RefSeq and is a predicted model, not a curated record.